RNAcentral lists this ribosomal RNA (276 nucleotides) under uncultured prokaryote. RNAcentral's name for it is "partial 16S ribosomal RNA". It matches the Rfam family "Bacterial small subunit ribosomal RNA", at positions 524 to 800 of the family's 1533-position model. The record is from RNAcentral.
UACGUAGGGGGCUAGCGUUAUCCGGAAUUACUGGGCGUAAAGGGUGCGUAGGUGGUUUCUUAAGUCAGAGGUGAAAGGCUACGGCUCAACCGUAGUAAGCCUUUGAAACUGGGAAACUUGAGUGCAGGAGAGGAGAGUGGAAUUCCUAGUGUAGCGGUGAAAUGCGUAGAUAUUAGGAGGAACACCAGUUGCGAAGGCAGCUCUCUGGACUGUAACUGACACUGAGGCACGAAAGCGUGGGGAGCAAACAGGAUUAGAUACCCUGGUAGUCCCUGA